AGAGUUUGAUCAUGGCUCAGAUUGAACGCUGGCGGCAGGCCUAACACAUGCAAGUCGAGCGGUAGCACAGAGAGCUUGCUCUCGGGUGACGAGCGGCGGACGGGUGAGUAAUGUCUGGGAAACUGCCUGAUGGAGGGGGAUAACUACUGGAAACGGUAGCUAAUACCGCAUAAUGUCGCAAGACCAAAGUGGGGGACCUUCGGGCCUCAUGCCAUCAGAUGUGCCCAGAUGGGAUUAGCUAGUAGGUGGGGUAACGGCUCACCUAGGCGACGAUCCCUAGCUGGUCUGAGAGGAUGACCAGCCACACUGGAACUGAGACACGGUCCAGACUCCUACGGGAGGCAGCAGUGGGGAAUAUUGCACAAUGGGCGCAAGCCUGAUGCAGCCAUGCCGCGUGUGUGAAGAAGGCCUUCGGGUUGUAAAGCACUUUCAGCGGGGAGGAAGGCGGUGAGGUUAAUAACCUCAUCGAUUGACGUUACCCGCAGAAGAAGCACCGGCUAACUCCGUGCCAGCAGCCGCGGUAAUACGGAGGGUGCAAGCGUUAAUCGGAAUUACUGGGCGUAAAGCGCACGCAGGCGGUCUGUCAAGUCGGAUGUGAAAUCCCCGGGCUCAACCUGGGAACUGCAUUCGAAACUGGCAGGCUAGAGUCUUGUAGAGGGGGGUAGAAUUCCAGGUGUAGCGGUGAAAUGCGUAGAGAUCUGGAGGAAUACCGGUGGCGAAGGCGGCCCCCUGGACAAAGACUGACGCUCAGGUGCGAAAGCGUGGGGAGCAAACAGGAUUAGAUACCCUGGUAGUCCACGCCGUAAACGAUGUCGAUUUGGAGGUUGUGCCCUUGAGGCGUGGCUUCCGGAGCUAACGCGUUAAAUCGACCGCCUGGGGAGUACGGCCGCAAGGUUAAAACUCAAAUGAAUUGACGGGGGCCCGCACAAGCGGUGGAGCAUGUGGUUUAAUUCGAUGCAACGCGAAGAACCUUACCUGGUCUUGACAUCCACAGAACUUAGCAGAGAUGCUUUGGUGCCUUCGGGAACUGUGAGACAGGUGCUGCAUGGCUGUCGUCAGCUCGUGUUGUGAAAUGUUGGGUUAA
RNAcentral lists this ribosomal RNA (1084 nucleotides) under Klebsiella pneumoniae BWH 28. RNAcentral's name for it is "bacterial SSU rRNA". It matches the Rfam family "Bacterial small subunit ribosomal RNA", at positions 8 to 1083 of the family's 1533-position model. The record is from RNAcentral. Lineage: Bacteria; Pseudomonadati; Pseudomonadota; Gammaproteobacteria; Enterobacterales; Enterobacteriaceae.